GUCUACGGCCAUGCCACCCUGAACAAGCCUGAUGUCUGUUAUUGGAAGCUAAGCAGGAUCAGGCCUGGUUAGUACUUGGAUGGGAGACCAUCUAGGAAGACCAGGUGCUGUAGGCA
Molecule: ribosomal RNA, 116 nt
Filed under: Pteropus alecto (black flying fox)
Lineage: Eukaryota; Metazoa; Chordata; Mammalia; Chiroptera; Pteropodidae
Source: RNAcentral